AAAAUUUGAUAUAUAUACAUCGCCAAAGAAACGUUUCACCAUAAAGAAUAACCAAGGUAUUCAAUAUGUCUGGAAAUGGAGAGCAUUUGGGACAAUCUUAAGUAUUUUAGUCAAAUAAUUAGAAAUAUGAGUAUUAUGUUUUCUAUAAUUUGUGAAUCAUAUGUAUGCUUUUUAAACCCCUCAAAUGCAUUUAAAUGAAAUAGCAUAUAGUCAAAAAAUGAGAAACCAAAUUUCAAAAGAAUAUACAAAUAGAAAGUAUACAGUGUCGCCAUAAGCUUUCUGUUAUAAUGCUUUCUGUACAGACAAUGCAUUUAAAGAGCACUUUUAAUCUUUAUUUUUUUAGUCUAUUUGAAAAAUCAGACCUUUUAGAUAAAGCUCCCAAUCAGAACAAAAACAAAUUUCACUUAAAUUUUGACUUUUAAAAUUUGUUGAAUGUAGAAAAAGAAAAUGAGUAAUC
Molecule: microRNA precursor, 457 nt
Filed under: Mus caroli (Ryukyu mouse)
Lineage: Eukaryota; Metazoa; Chordata; Mammalia; Rodentia; Muridae
Description: miRNA (MGP_CAROLIEiJ_G0006934.1)
Source: RNAcentral